This 440-nucleotide ribosomal RNA is filed under the name uncultured bacterium. Its description in RNAcentral is "partial 16S ribosomal RNA". It matches the Rfam family "Bacterial small subunit ribosomal RNA", at positions 338 to 795 of the family's 1533-position model. The record is from RNAcentral.
CCUACGGGAGGCAGCAGUAGGGAAUAUUGCUCAAUGGGGGAAACCCUGAAGCAGCAACGUCGCGUGGAGGAUGAAGGUCCUAGGAUUGUAAACUCCUUUUGUUAGAGAAGAUAAUGACGGUAUCUAACGAAUAAGCACCGGCUAACUCCGUGCCAGCAGCCGCGGUAAUACGGAGGGUGCAAGCGUUACUCGGAAUCACUGGGCGUAAAGAGCGCGUAGGCGGGAUAGCAAGUCAGAUGUGAAAUCCUAUGGCUUAACCAUAGAACUGCAUUUGAAACUGUUAUUCUAGAGUAUGGGAGAGGUAGGUGGAAUUCUUGGUGUAGGGGUAAAAUCCGUAGAGAUCAAGAGGAAUACUCAUUGCGAAGGCGACCUGCUGGAACAUAACUGACGCUGAUGCGCGAAAGCGUGGGGAGCAAACAGGAUUAGAUACCCCUGUACUC